RNAcentral lists this unclassified non-coding RNA (326 nucleotides) under uncultured fungus. Its description in RNAcentral is "partial contains 5.8S ribosomal RNA and internal transcribed spacer 2". The stretch from base 1 to 133 matches the Rfam family "5.8S ribosomal RNA", at positions 22 to 154 of the family's 154-position model. Lineage: Eukaryota; Fungi. The record is from RNAcentral.
UGGUUCUCGCAUCGAUGAAGAACGCAGCGAAAUGCGAUAAGUAAUGUGAAUUGCAGAAUUCAGUGAAUCAUCGAAUCUUUGAACGCACAUUGCGCCCCUUGGUAUUCCGAGGGGCAUGCCUGUUCGAGCGUCAUUACACCACUCAAGCUAUGCUUGGUAUUGGGUGCCGUCCUUAGUUGGGCGCGCCUUAAAGACCUCGGCGAGGCCUCACCGGCUUUAGGCGUAGUAGAAUUUAUUCGAACGUCUGUCAAAGGAGAGGACUUCUGCCGACUGAAACCUUUUAUUUUUUCUAGGUUGACCUCGGAUCAGGUAGGGAUACCCGCUGA